AAGUCGUAACAAGGUUUCCGUAGGCGAACCUGCGGAAGGAUCAUUACAGAGUUCAUGCCCUUCGGGGUAGAUCUCCCACCCUUGUGUAUCCAUUAUAUGAAGCUUGUUUGGCGGGCGGCUGCCUAGCAUGCCUCGAUUCGCGUCGAGCGCGCCCGCCAGAGGACCCCUAAACUCUGAAUGUUAGUGUCGUCUGAGUACUAUUAAAUAGUUAAAA
This 214-nucleotide unclassified non-coding RNA is filed under the name plant metagenome. Its description in RNAcentral is "partial contains small subunit ribosomal RNA and internal transcribed spacer 1". The stretch from base 1 to 46 matches the Rfam family "Eukaryotic small subunit ribosomal RNA", at positions 1786 to 1831 of the family's 1831-position model. The record is from RNAcentral.